Molecule: ribosomal RNA, 367 nt
Filed under: uncultured bacterium
Lineage: Bacteria
Description: partial 16S ribosomal RNA
Rfam family: Bacterial small subunit ribosomal RNA
Source: RNAcentral
CCUACGGGUGGCAGCAGUGGGGAAUAUUGCACAAUGGGGGAAACCCUGAUGCAGCGACGCCGCGUGAGUGAGGAAGUCUUUAGGUAUGUUAAGCUCUAUCAGCAGGGAAGAAGAUGACGGUACCUGCCUAGGAAGCCCCGGCUAACUACGUGCCAGCAGCCGCGGUAAUAAGGAGGGGGCAAGCGUUGUCCGGAUUUACUGGGUGUAAAGGGAGCGUAGACGGCUAAUCAAGUCAGAAGUGAAAACCCAGGGCUCAACCUUGGGAGUGCUUUUGAAACUGAGUAGCGAGAGGGCAGGAGAGGUAAGCGGAAUUCCGAGUGUAGCGGUGAAAUGCGUAGAUAUUAGGAGGAACACCAGUGGCGAAGGC